GGCCUUUAGUUUAAAAUUUAAGGUCUGGCCUGCCCACUGAUUAAUUUAAAGGCCGCGGUAAUUUGACCGUGCUAAGGUAGCAUAAUCAUUAGUUUUUUAAUUGAAAGCUGGUAUGAAUGGUUGGAUGAGAAAUUAACUGUCUCUAUUAAAUUUGAUAUGAAUUUUAUAUUUGAGUAAGAAAGCUUAAAUUUUUUUGGAAGACGAGAAGACCCUAUAGAGUUUAAUAAAAUUAAUUAUUUAAGUUUUUAGUAAUUUAAAAUUAAAAAAUUUAUUUUAUUUGGUUGGGGUGAUUGAAAAAUUUAAUAAACUUUUUUUAUAUAGAAACAUUAAUUUAUGAAUGUUUGAUCCAUUAUUUAUGAUUACAAGAUUAAAUUACCUUAGGGAUAACAGCGUAAUUUUUUUUGAGAGUUCAAAUCGAAAAAAAAGUUUGCGACCUCGAUGUUGGAUUAAAAUUAAUUUUUGGUGUAGAAGCUAGAAAUUUUGGGUCUGUUCGACCUUUAAAAUUUUACAUGA
This 513-nucleotide ribosomal RNA is filed under the name Taeniotes amazonum. RNAcentral describes it as "partial large subunit ribosomal RNA". It matches the Rfam family "Bacterial large subunit ribosomal RNA", at positions 1860 to 2603 of the family's 2925-position model. The record is from RNAcentral. Lineage: Eukaryota; Metazoa; Arthropoda; Insecta; Coleoptera; Cerambycidae.